Molecule: long non-coding RNA, 386 nt
Organism: Drosophila biarmipes
Lineage: Eukaryota; Metazoa; Arthropoda; Insecta; Diptera; Drosophilidae
Exons: 2
Source: RefSeq, a predicted model, not a curated record
GCCCAGUAAAACAGAUUAAACUCAAUUAGUCAGUUUUGAAAGAAAUAAGAAUGAACUUUAAAAACAUAUUCGGCUUUGCGUUCCUUCUGCUGGCUAUCAACAUAGGGCAAUCGAGGGCUGCCUGGAUACAUGAUGUUGGCAAAACUCUUAAGGGAGUUGGGUUGUAUGCUUUCAAUGCAACUAUGCACGUAGCAGAGGUCGGCGUGAAAGCAGGCAAUGUCGCAAUUACUGCCAAGGGUUUAUAAUUUUAUAUUGAUUGAAUGAUAUUUUUAUCAGUAAGAAAUAACAAGGUUUUGAAGAAUUUAUGAAAUGAUUUACUAUAAAACGUUUCAAAACGCAACCGAUAUGUCUUAUCAGUGUUAAAAUAAAUAAAAUUAAAGCUUCUA